CUUAAAGGAAUUGACGGGGGCCCGCACAAGCGGCGGAGCAUGUGGAUUAAUUCGAUGCAACGCGAAGAACCUUACCAAGGCUUGACAUACACCGGAAACAUUCAGAGAUGGGUGCCCCGUAAGGUCGGUGUACAGGUGGUGCAUGGUUGUCGUCAGCUCGUGUCGUGGGAUGUUGGGUUAAGUCCCGCAACGAGCGCAACCCUCGUUCCAUGUUGCCAGCAACACUUUUAGUGGUUGGGGACUCAUGGGAGACUGCCGGGGUCAACUCGGAGGAAGGUGGGGAUGACGUCAAAUCAUCAUGCCCCUUAUGUCUUGGGCUUCACACAUGCUACAAUGGCCGGUACAAAGGGCUGCGAUACCGCGAGGUGGAGCGAAUCCCAAAAAACCGGUCUCAGUUCGGAUUGGGGUCUGCAACUCGACCCCAUGAAGUCGGAGUCGCUAGUAAUCGCAGAUCAGCAACGCUGCGGUGAAUACGUUCCCGGGCCUUGUACACACCGCCCGUCAAGUCA
This 509-nucleotide ribosomal RNA is filed under the name uncultured Dermatophilus sp. RNAcentral describes it as "bacterial SSU rRNA". It matches the Rfam family "Bacterial small subunit ribosomal RNA", at positions 900 to 1404 of the family's 1533-position model. Lineage: Bacteria; Bacillati; Actinomycetota; Actinomycetes; Micrococcales; Dermatophilaceae. The record is from RNAcentral.